This 253-nucleotide ribosomal RNA is filed under the name uncultured bacterium. Its description in RNAcentral is "partial 16S ribosomal RNA". It matches the Rfam family "Bacterial small subunit ribosomal RNA", at positions 524 to 776 of the family's 1533-position model. The record is from RNAcentral.
UACGAAGGGGGCUAGCGUUGUUCGGAAUUACUGGGCGUAAAGCGCACGUAGGCGGACUAUUAAGUCAGGGGUGAAAUCCCGGGGCUCAACCCCGGAACUGCCUUUGAUACUGGUAGUCUCGAGUCCGGAAGAGGUGAGUGGAAUUCCGAGUGUAGAGGUGAAAUUCGUAGAGAUCCGGAGGAACACCAGCGGCGAAGGCGGCAUCCUGGACUGGUCCUGACACUCAUGAGCGAAAGCGUGGGGAGCGAUCCGG